UGGGGAAUCUUGGACAAUGGGCGCAAGCCUGAUCCAGCCAUGCCGCGUGAGUGAAGAAGGCCUUCGGGUUGUAAAGCUCUUUUACCAGGGACGAUAAUGACGGUACCUGGAGAAUAAGCCCCGGCAAACUUCGUGCCAGCAGCCGCGGUAAUACGAAGGGGGCUAGCGUUGUUCGGAAUUACUGGGCGUAAAGCGCACGUAGGCGGAUUGUUAAGUCAGAGGUGAAAUCCCGGAGCUCAACUUCGGAACUGCCUUUGAUACUGGCAAUCUAGAGUCCGGAAGAGGUUAGUGGAAUUCCCAGUGUAGAGGUGAAAUUCGUAGAUAUUGGGAAGAACACCAGUGGCGAAGGCGGCUAACUGGUCCGGUACUGACGCUGAGGUGCGAAAGCGUGGGGAGCAAACAGGAUUAGAUACCCCCGUAGUCCCUGAGCGGGCUGGCAAGGCGCAU
This 447-nucleotide ribosomal RNA is filed under the name uncultured bacterium. Its description in RNAcentral is "bacterial SSU rRNA". It matches the Rfam family "Bacterial small subunit ribosomal RNA", at positions 355 to 825 of the family's 1533-position model. The record is from RNAcentral.